AUGGAGGAUUCGGUGGGCGAGGCGGAGAGGAGGGAGCAGGAGGCGCAGGGGAAGAAGCGCGGACGAGAGGAAGAGCAGGAGGCCGGCGCUGGUCGUGCGGUGGAGGGGAAGGCAGAGGUGGCGGUGGCUGAGGAGGGCGGGUUUCUCAGCAGCAUGGCGUCCAAGAUCGGCGUGGCCAUGUCGGGUGCUACUAACGGCGGCGGCGGCGGCGGCGCUGAGGACACCGGCGAAGGCAAUGGCAACGGCAACGGGAACGCGCUUGCUGUCUCUGACGGCGACGCGGAGAAGGCGGCCGGCAAUGGCAUCUUCCACAAGCUGCUGUCCAGCUCGUCUCCUUCCCCGCCGGCCGCUGUCUUCCGUGGAGCAGAGGAAGAGAGAAGGGAAGGGAAAGACGAGGACGAAGGCGGCGAGCAGGCCGGGAUACUGAGCGCCAUGGCUUCCAAGAUCGGCAUGGCCAUGUCUGGCAAUGGAACCCACGGCGGCAGCGGGGAAGAUGUUGAUCACAGUAACGGUGAGGGCGAGGGCAAGGAGAAGGAGAUGGGAGGCGACGAGCCGAGCUCCAACGGCGGUGGGCUCGUUAAGCAGAUCAUGUCCAACCUCCCCACUUCAGACACUCGGGGGCCCGAUGCUGAGGAGGCCUCCCUGCUCAUCUCCAUCAUCGACGACUAG
RNAcentral lists this ribosomal RNA (669 nucleotides) under Triticum aestivum (bread wheat). RNAcentral describes it as "partial small subunit ribosomal RNA". The record is from RNAcentral. Lineage: Eukaryota; Viridiplantae; Streptophyta; Magnoliopsida; Poales; Poaceae.